CCUACGGGAGGCAGCAGUGGGGAAUAUUGCACAAUGGGGGAAACCCUGAUGCAGCGACGCCGCGUGAGCGAUGAAGUCUCUCUGUAUGUUAAGCCCUAUCAGCCGGGAAGAAGAUGACGGUACCUGCCUAAGAAGCCCCGGCUACCUCCGUGCCAGCUGCCGCGGGAAUACGUAGGGGGCAAGCGUUAUCCGGAUUUACUGGGUGUAAAGGGAGCGUAGGCGGCGAUGCAAGCCAGAUGUGAAAGCCCCGGGCUCAACCCCGGGACUGCAGUUGGAACUGUGUGGCUGGAGUGUCGGAGAGGCAGGCGGAAUGCCUAGUGUAGCGGUGAAAUGCGUAGAUAUUAGGAGGAACACCAGUGGCGAAGGCGGCCUGCUGGACGAUGACUGACGUUGAGGCUCGAAAGCGUGGGGAGCAAACAGGAUUAGAUACCCGAGUAGUC
Molecule: ribosomal RNA, 440 nt
Filed under: uncultured bacterium
Lineage: Bacteria
Description: partial 16S ribosomal RNA
Rfam family: Bacterial small subunit ribosomal RNA
Source: RNAcentral